RNAcentral lists this transfer RNA (62 nucleotides) under Eucnemidae sp. 4 ACP-2013. RNAcentral describes it as "tRNA-Leu". Lineage: Eukaryota; Metazoa; Arthropoda; Insecta; Coleoptera; Eucnemidae. The record is from RNAcentral.
UAAUGUGACAGAUUAGUGUGAUGAGUUUAAGCCUCAUUUAUAAAGGUUUAACUUUCUUUAGA